Non-coding RNA from Meleagris gallopavo (turkey), 1169 nucleotides. The record is from RefSeq and is a predicted model, not a curated record. NCBI's taxonomy places the organism in Eukaryota, Metazoa, Chordata, Aves, Galliformes, Phasianidae.
AGGCACUGGGAGGGAAGUGGGGGCACUGGGAUCGUACUGGGAGGCACUGGGAGGGAAGUGGAGGCUCUGGGAUUGUGCUGGGAUGUACUGGGAGGCACUGGGAGGGAAGUGGGGACACUGGGAUAGUACUGGGAGCAUUGGGAUAGUACUGGGGUAGUACUGGGAUAUAUACUGGGAGGCACUGGGAGGGAAAUGGGGCAUUGGGAUGUACUGGGAGGCACUGGCAGGGAACUGAGGGCACUGGGAUCGUACUGGGAUGUACUGGAAGGGAAGUGAGGGCACUGGGAUCGUACUGGGAGCAUUGGGAUAGUACUGGGGUAGUACUGGGAUAUACUGGGAGGCACUGGGAGGGAAGUGAAGGCACUGGGAUCGUACUGGGAGGUACUGGCAGGCACUGGGAGGGAUGUGGGGUCACUGGGAUCAUACUGGGGGACACUGGGUCGUACAGGGAUGGGGACAGGUUUUACUGGUGGGCUUUGGGUCAUACUGGGAUGGGGACAGGUUGUACUGGGAGCACUGGGUCAUACUGGGACGGUAGCGAAUUGUACUGGGUUACACUGGGCCAUACUGGGAUGGCUGCAGGUUUUACUGGAAUGGGGACAGGUUGCAACUGGGAGCACUGGGUCAUACUGGGAUGGCAGCAGGUUGUACUGGUGGGCACUGGGCCGUACUGGGAUGGCUGUAGGUUUUAGUGGGAUGGGGGCAGGUCGUACUGGGAGGCGUUGAGUUAUACUGGGUGGCACUGGGAUGUUCUGGGAAAUGACCCCGCGUGGCCUCCGUGACCUCCAUGACCUCCGUGACCCCUGUGUGACCCCGCUGUGACCCCAUAGGCCCCGCCCACCCUGCAGGGCAGCCAUGGCCGUAACAUCCUGCUGUCCAAUGGGAAUCGCACGGCCACCCGCGUCGCCAGUUACAACCAGGGACUGGUGAUACUGGGACAACCGCUGCCGCCUGGGAAGCUCUUCCAGGUGCAGAUCGAUGCGCUGAACCCGCAGUGGAGCUCCUCCCUGUCCCUGGGCGUCACCUCGUCCCCCCCCGAGCGCUGUCCCCUCCCUGCCUGCGCGGCUGCCCUCAAACGUUCUGCCUGGCUGCUGCAGCGCCGCAGCGUCUUCCACAAUGCCAAAAAGAUCUGCGACAACCAGGGCCCCAAAGUGGCCCCAAAUCACCCC